CUACGGGAUGCUGCAGUGAGGAAUAUUGCACAAUGGAGGAAACUCUGAUGCAGCAACGCCGCGUGGAGGAUGACGCAUUUCGGUGUGUAAACUCCUUUUAUGAGUCAAGAAAAUGACGGUAGCUCAUGAAUAAGCACCGGCUAACUCCGUGCCAGCAGCCGCGGUAAUACGGAGGGUGCAAGCGUUACUCGGAAUCACUGGGCGUAAAGGACGCGUAGGCGGGAUAUCAAGUCAGGUGUGAAAUCCUACAGCUUAACUGUAGAACUGCACUUGAAACUGGUAACCUAGAGUAUGGGAGGGGGAGAUGGAAUUAUUGGUGUAGGGGUAAAAUCCGUAGAUAUCACUAGGAAUACCUAAAGCGAAGGCGAUCUCCUGGAACAUAACUGACGCUAAGGCGUGAAAGCGUGGGGAGCAAACAGGAUUAGAUACCCUCGUAGUC
Molecule: ribosomal RNA, 439 nt
Filed under: uncultured bacterium
Lineage: Bacteria
Description: partial 16S ribosomal RNA
Rfam family: Bacterial small subunit ribosomal RNA
Source: RNAcentral